This is a long non-coding RNA of Neofelis nebulosa (Clouded leopard), 1644 nucleotides long. RefSeq lists it as uncharacterized. The transcript has 3 exons. Lineage: Eukaryota; Metazoa; Chordata; Mammalia; Carnivora; Felidae. The record is from RefSeq and is a predicted model, not a curated record.
CUAGAAGGGAUGGACAAAAAGCAAUUCAUUCUCAUAAUACCCUUAAGCCUAAGAAGUAAUUCAUAAUAUCCCUACUCUGUUUCUCACCUUUUUAGUGGCAGGAAGAAAGUUGCCAGAAGGUUGAGUGAGUCACCCACAGUCAUAAAGCCGGGAGGGCCUGUCCAAAGAAUGGAAGCCUAACCCCCUUCUGACAUGGUUAUCCAUGGCUCAGAACAUGAAGUCUCAUACAAAGCAAAUCCUGAUUUGAAUAAGAGCUUCACGACACUCUGGUUAUAUUACCUCCUCUUCAACGUUUCACCUAUUCUUCCUCAAAUCUUGCCUGAAGAUCUUUGCAAAGGCCGUUCCCUCUGCCUGGGAAAUGUCCUUCCUCCUUUUCUGGGUUACAUAAGACUGCAACUUCCAUCUUGCUGAUCACCUUCUCACCUUACAUGCUUUGAUGAAGCAAGCUCACAUGUUGGAAAAGCUCAAGGAAUUGAAUCCUGGCAACAACCACAUGAGUCUGGGAGUGGAUGCUUCACCCAGUCAACCUUCAGAUGAGAUCCCUGCCCUAGCCAACACCUUGAUUACAGCCUUGUGAGAGACCCUGAAGCUGAGUACUUAGCUAAGCAUGCCUCAACUCCUAACCCUCAGAAACUAAGAGAUAACAAAUGUGUGUAGUGUUAAGCCACUAAGUCUUGGGGAUAAUUUCUUACACAGCAAUAGGUAGCUAAUAAGACAAAUAAGUGAGUAAGUCAGUAAGUGAAUGGAUGAAACUGAAGACCUCACUAAAGGAAGGGGAAACUAAGACCUGGUGGAGGUGAGGGGGUAGUGUAGAGAGAGUGGACUGAUAUGCUCAAAGACAAUUGUCCAUGCUUCCUGUUUGAUUUUGUUUCUCUCAACCAUAGAAUCUGAAGGAGGUGUUUUGGGGAAAACUCUUCCAAAGUUUUUAGAAUCAGAAAUUCAAUAGGUGAGUGGACAUUUUAUAUGCCCAGGCACUAUCUGAUAUCAUUCAUAAGUAUUUGUGUUUGUAGAUGAAUAGCAAAGAUACAUCCUCAGUGAUACCAAUUCAGAUGCAGUUUAUAUCAAAACAUACAGUCUAGCUUGGGAAGCCUUUAUUUUAAGUAGCUGUAUUUUAAAUCUUGAUCCAAGUGACCCACUCAGAUCAUCUUUGUCUCAUGUGUAGUUGACACUGAACAUGGAAACAGCAUUAAUAAGUUGGAAUAGGUUAGUGGGCUUUGAGUCUGCAAUCCAGAUGUAAACAAUAUAAAAUCCUUGAUAGAGCUAUAAAUACCAGCUUUAUCAAUAGCUCUCGUAAUUUACAAUUUUCCAAUGCAUUUCAAAAUGCUGACUCUCACCUUUUUCCUAGAUUGGUUUCUUCACUUCAGAGUGAUAAAAGAGUGCAAAAAAUAAUGAUAUACUUUGGAGUGCAUUCGUGUUCCAACAUCCAGUUUUAAUGGAGGCCUACAAAGAAGUUCCUUUUCUGCCUUCUUAAAUGUCGUAUUUUCCUGCCCAGUUACACAUGGGAAAUAUAAUUGGUUAUGGAAUUUCCCUUGGAUUAAGCUUGUUUCAAUAGGAACUACUAAUUACUUUAUCACUGUGGCAUUGUAAUCUGCCCUAACAUUUAAAGUUUAUUUGCUCUCAAAUAAAGGGCAUUUGGUCUUCCUA